CUCUGCUCCUGAAUCCACAGGGUGGAAGCAGUCCAGGGCUGAAUGGAGCAUCAUUCCCCAGCAGCUCAGAGCAGCUGUUGGAGAAGCGAUCAGAAGCAAAGGCAUCGAGGUGUUUUCAGUGGGAAGCAGAGCCUGGGAAGCUCCUUUGCUUUCUCCCGUGUGUGGGCAGAGGUGGAUGAAGGCUGGGAAGGCUUUGUCUCCAAUUCCAGACUGAGAAGCUGAGCAGGGGAUGAAGGUAACAUCUGCUCCUCCUCCCUUUGUCCAGGAGAGACCUCGGGCACCAGCCUGUGA
RNAcentral lists this long non-coding RNA (291 nucleotides) under Parus major (Great Tit). RNAcentral describes it as "lncRNA (ENSPMJG00000013938.1)". Lineage: Eukaryota; Metazoa; Chordata; Aves; Passeriformes; Paridae. The record is from RNAcentral.